This 216-nucleotide long non-coding RNA is filed under the name Gallus gallus (chicken). Lineage: Eukaryota; Metazoa; Chordata; Aves; Galliformes; Phasianidae. The record is from RNAcentral.
UGGCAGCCAGCGAGUAGAGGAAGGCGAAGACUGCAAUGGUGACAAAGAACUCCGCCGACGAGGAGAAGUCCCCUAUCAAGGAGAGUGUUUCUCGACGCUUGCCUUCACAAGUGGGAGCAUCGAAAUUCACUUGAUGCAACCUGAACGGGUAGGCAAAGGCUAUGUCAAUGUUGAGGUCACUCUCUGACUUGUUUGCACAGUCCACACUGAGGCGCA